UCCCUGAUAGCUCAGCGGUAGAGUAGGUGACUGUUAAUCACUUGGUCGUUGGUUCGAAUCCAACUCAGGGAG
This is a transfer RNA of Sphingomonas sp. Leaf33, 72 nucleotides long. It matches the Rfam family "tRNA". From Rfam's summary of the family: Transfer RNA (tRNA) molecules are approximately 80 nucleotides in length. Their secondary structure includes four short double-helical elements and three loops (D, anti-codon, and T loops). The record is from Rfam. Lineage: Bacteria; Pseudomonadati; Pseudomonadota; Alphaproteobacteria; Sphingomonadales; Sphingomonadaceae.